RNAcentral lists this ribosomal RNA (388 nucleotides) under Ceramium sp. RNAcentral's name for it is "partial small subunit ribosomal RNA". It matches the Rfam family "Eukaryotic small subunit ribosomal RNA", at positions 582 to 975 of the family's 1831-position model. The record is from RNAcentral. Lineage: Eukaryota; Rhodophyta; Florideophyceae; Ceramiales; Ceramiaceae.
AUUCCAGCUCUGUAAGCGUAUACCAAAGUUGUUGCAGUUAAAACGCUCGUAGUCGGACGUUGGCGGGCGCCUCGAGUCGGCCUCACGGUCGAUCUUGUUGGCGACCGCCUUUGUGGAGGGGGGCUUAGGUCGGUGCUUUAUUGUCAUCCCUUUGUCGCUGCCACCGUUUACUGUGAAAAAAUUAGAGUGUUCAAAGCGGGCGUUUGCCAUGAAUACAUUAGCAUGGAAUAAUAGAAUAGGACCUGGUCCUGUUUUGUUGGUUUGUGAGUAUCAGGUAAUGAUUAAGAGGGACGGUUGGGGGCAUUUGUAUUCCGGCGUCAGAGGUGAAAUUCUUGGAUUGCCGGAAGACAAACAGCUGCGAAAGCGUCUGCCAAGGACGUUUUCAUCG